This 424-nucleotide ribosomal RNA is filed under the name uncultured prokaryote. RNAcentral's name for it is "bacterial SSU rRNA". It matches the Rfam family "Bacterial small subunit ribosomal RNA", at positions 355 to 796 of the family's 1533-position model. The record is from RNAcentral.
UGGGGAAUCUUAGACAAUGGGGGAAACCCUGAUCUAGCCAUGCCGCGUGAGUGAUGAAGGCCCUAGGGUCGUAAAGCUCUUUCGCCAGGGAUGAUAAUGACAGUACCUGGUCAAGAAACCCCGGCUAACUCCGUGCCAGCAGCCGCGGUAAUACGGAGGGGGUUAGCGUUGUUCGGAAUUACUGGGCGUAAAGCGCACGUAGGCGGACUGUUAAGUCAGAGGUGAAAUCCCGGGGCUCAACCCCGGAACUGCCUUUGAUACUGGCAGUCUUGAGUUCGAGAGAGGUGAGUGGAAUUCCGAGUGUAGAGGUGAAAUUCGUAGAUAUUAGGAAGAACACCAGUGGCGAAGGCGGCUUACUGGACCGGCAUUGACGCUGAGGUGCGAAAGCGUGGGGAGCGAACAGGAUUAGAUACCCCCGUAGUCC